CCUACGGGUGGCUGCAGUGAGGAAUAUUGGUCAAUGGGCGCGAGCCUGAACCAGCCAAGUCGCGUGAAGGAUGAAUGCCCUAUGGAUCGUAAACCUCUUUUAUAAGGGAAUAAAGUGUGGAACGUGUCCCUUUUUGUAUGUACUUUAUGAAUAAGGAUCGGCUAACUCCGUGCCAGCAGCCGCGGUAAUACGGAGGAUCCGAGCGUUAUCCGGAUUUAUUGGGUUUAAAGGGAGCGUAGGCGGGUUGUUAAGUCAGUUGUGAAAGUUUGUGGCUCAACCAUAGAAUUGCAGUUGAUAAUGGCAGGCUUGAGUAUAGUUGAGGGAGGCGGAAUGCGUGGUGUAGCGGUGAAAUGCUUAGAUAUCACGCAGAACCCCGAUUGCGAAGGCAGCCUGCUAAACCAUGACUGACGCUGAUGCACGAAAGCGUGGGGAUCAAACAGGAUUAGAUACCCGGGUAGUC
RNAcentral lists this ribosomal RNA (460 nucleotides) under uncultured bacterium. Its description in RNAcentral is "partial 16S ribosomal RNA". It matches the Rfam family "Bacterial small subunit ribosomal RNA", at positions 338 to 795 of the family's 1533-position model. The record is from RNAcentral.